UGGGGAAUAUUGCACAAUGGAGGGAACUCUGAUGCAGCGACGCCGCGUGAACGAAGAAGGCUUUCGAGUCGUAAAGUUCUUUUAUAUGGGAAGAUAAUGACGGUACCAUAAUAAAAAGCCCCGGCUAACUACGUGCCAGCAGCCGCGGUAAUACGUAGGGGGCUAGCGUUGUCCGGAAUCACUGGGCGUAAAGGGUUCGCAGGCGGAAAUGCAAGUCAGGUGUAAAAGGCAGUAGCUUAACUACUGUAAGCAUUUGAAACUGCAUAUCUUGAGAAGAGUAGAGGUAAGUGGAAUUUUUAGUGUAGCGGUGAAAUGCGUAGAUAUUAAAAAGAAUACCGGUGGCGAAGGCGACUUACUGGGCUCAUUCUGACGCUGAGGAACGAAAGCGUGGGUAGCAAACAGG
Molecule: ribosomal RNA, 403 nt
Filed under: Fusobacteriota bacterium
Lineage: Bacteria; Fusobacteriati; Fusobacteriota
Description: Fusobacteria bacterium partial 16S ribosomal RNA
Rfam family: Bacterial small subunit ribosomal RNA
Source: RNAcentral